GAUGAACGCUGGCGGCGUGCCUAAUACAUGCAAGUCGAGCGAACAGACGAGGAGCUUGCUCCUCUGACGUUAGCGGCGGACGGGUGAGUAACACGUGGAUAACCUACCUAUAAGACUGGGAUAACUUCGGGAAACCGGAGCUAAUGCCGGAUAAUAUAUUGAACCGCAUGGUUCAAUAGUGAAAGACGGUUUUGCUGUCACUUAUAGAUGGAUCCGCGCCGCAUUAGCUAGUUGGUAAGGUAACGGCUUACCAAGGCAACGAUGCGUAGCCGACCUGAGAGGGUGAUCGGCCACACUGGAACUGAGACACGGUCCAGACUCCUACGGGAGGCAGCAGUGGGGAAUCUUCCGCAAUGGGCGAAAGCUUGACGGAGCAACGCCGCGUGAGUGAUGAAGGUCUUCGGAUCGUAAAACUCUGUUAUUAGGGAAGAACAAAUGUGUAAGUAACUAUGCACGUCUUGACGGUACCUAAUCAGAAAGCCACGGCUAACUACGUG
Molecule: ribosomal RNA, 497 nt
Filed under: uncultured bacterium
Lineage: Bacteria
Description: partial 16S ribosomal RNA
Rfam family: Bacterial small subunit ribosomal RNA
Source: RNAcentral